Molecule: non-coding RNA, 398 nt
Organism: Chiloscyllium plagiosum (whitespotted bambooshark)
Lineage: Eukaryota; Metazoa; Chordata; Chondrichthyes; Orectolobiformes; Hemiscylliidae
Source: RefSeq, a predicted model, not a curated record
CUUGUGAUGAACACCAUGGAUCGGGUGAGGCGACAAGCUGCAAAAUGGUUCAUUUGAGGUCGACACCUGACAGUCUACUUCCAGGAUCACUCCAAGUGCCUGCUACCCAGAUCCUGAGAUAUGUUCACCAUUGAAGAUCCUCCUCAGGCUGACCGCGGUGUGACCCCAGACUGAGCACCUCCUUCUUCAAUGCUUCAAUUGCGAAUUUGCAUCUCUCUAUCGGCCCCCACACCCACUGCUGCCUGAAGACAGCUGAUGUGAGUCUUGUCCACAUCCAACCAUCGCCUCAUGGAGUGGAUGCCUACUUGCCGUCUUCUCCGACCAGCCUGGGAGUCUUGGAAGAGCUCGGCUGUUUGGCAGCAGAUUGUUAAAUUGCCCAUUAUGUUAGGUACAUUAGU